Molecule: long non-coding RNA, 1244 nt
Organism: Numida meleagris (helmeted guineafowl)
Lineage: Eukaryota; Metazoa; Chordata; Aves; Galliformes; Numididae
Exons: 4
Source: RefSeq, a predicted model, not a curated record
CCCACUAUGCACAGAUGUAAUUUACCAUGAAGGAGCUGCUGGCUCCUGGGCGUGAGCGGAGAGCUGCCUUGAACCCACCACAGCAAGUGGCCAUUCUGAGCAAGUCAAGCCUUGAGUUAAAGCCAACCUACUCUUCCUUUGACCUGAGAGAGAAAGUGAAAUCACUGUGAUAGGCAUAGUUAAUGAUCUAUAUAGAUUAGAGAGAAGAAAAAAUACGCUUCUGGGUGUCCUUGGCCUUGCAGUAGGGAAGGCUUGUUGUCCCCUUUCAGGAAGCUGGUGGGAUGGCACAGACACCUGAUAGGGCUCCAUCACACUUGGGGCUCACGUUUGACCCACUGGGGGCUUUCAGGUGUGAGGUGUGAAAUGCAUGGAUUGCAUAAACCUCCUGGGAAAGUCGGAGGCAGGAUGAGGUGGCUCUGCUGACUGUAUGCUGAGGCUCUGCAGGCCAAUCUGUGGGAUUGUGCCCAGGUCCCCCUGCCUCCCUCACAAACACAAUGAUGAUAAAGUUCAGAAUGCCCAGAGUCCUCCCCCAGCAUUGUGACAAAUACGCAUCGUGUUCUCUUUUGGAGAUCGCACUCAGACAGAAUAAUUAGGUGGCAACACAAUUUAUUGCCUGCCACCCUGUAAAGCUCAGGAAGCACUCUUUCAGUUUUCAGCUGGUAUUUAAUCAACAAAUCAUAACUUUUAUUAAGCCUAAAUGCAGUGCUUCUAAGUUACUAAAUUUAAAGUGUGCCUGGAAACCAGGGUCAUUUUUUGUUUGAUUUACAUAUCACAGCAUCAUGCAAACUGGGAAUAGGAUAACGAGGGGCCCAGAUUGCAGCCAUCUCACAGGAGAUGCUUUGGAGGAUUUUUUCCUGCUUUGAGACCUCCAGUACAUUCCCAGCUUCAUUUCCAGCCUCUGCUUGAAAUUCCGAUGCCAUAUCUCAACGGGUACGGCGCUGACAUGGGCGGGGAGAAAAAUGCCCCAUCUCCGAGAUCUGCGCUCCUGAUCCCAGGCUGCGGGACUGAUGGGGUGGGAUUCUGGGCAGCUGUCAGCACCCUGCAUUGGGUUGCUCAUCAGAGCGGCAAGUAUGUCAGAUGUUCACGCUCUUCUGGUGGUUGGCUCAGUGAAACAAAGCAAGAAAACUGAAAACAGCCCAUCCCCCUGCCAAGGCUUUUUCCGGAUGAUUGGGUGCUAGGACAUAUUCCCUGAAAACCAGCUUUGCUUCCUCCCGCUUGAGCUGCAUCCAAAUUAAAAUUUUGUU